UCCCUAGUAGAUUGGGAACAAUCCCUUGUUGAAAUUGCCUUCUAAACACUUAGAGAGAAGGAGACAGCACGGAGCAGCCUGCCAAGCUCAGUGUGUUCCUGUGUGUGUAUUCUCACACUGCCUGCUAUCCUAGCCAAGGUAGAGAGACCUCUGAGAGAACGCAUGCAUGUGUGUGUGGAGGAGAGAGAGAGAGAGGGUAUUAUGCACUGUGGAUGUUGCCUCGUGUUUAACCAGCCUGCCUGCAAGCCCAGGUACUGCCUGCCUGCGCGCCGGCUUCUAAAUAAGCAGCACAUUCACCGUCCCCUUAAGGACAGGAGGCUAGGCUGCAGAGUGUGAAAUCKCACUAAUAGUCAGUACAGUAGCUAGCGCUGAGCAGSAGCCAGAGCAGGAGUCAGCUCCUACAUGACUUACUACUGUAGGUAGAGGACAAGCAGGACCAGAAGAGACAGUGGGGAUUGGACGUCAGAGGGAAAAGAAAAAGAAAAUACAGAAAGGUCUAUGAAGAAGGUUCCUGGUAACGCCACGGCAACAAUCGGUUCAGUUCCACUGUGUAAGGAGGGGGGCGUUUGAACAUUCUGAUCUCCUGCGGCCUGAUGGGACGUGGACUGCCUCCUCCACUUCAACACAACACUCCCAAUACACAUCACACUCACUGACUGAAUGGGGAUACAAACAGCUCUUUACUAUUUACAC
Long non-coding RNA from Salvelinus sp. IW2-2015, 693 nucleotides. RefSeq lists it as uncharacterized. Lineage: Eukaryota; Metazoa; Chordata; Actinopteri; Salmoniformes; Salmonidae. The record is from RefSeq and is a predicted model, not a curated record.